AGAGAAAGUUUGACUUUGGACUAUUUUCUUAUCUAUGCAUGGUUGGCUUUGCAAUGAGCAAAACCCAACACAAAAUUGGAUUUUUUAGGACACUGCAGGGCUUAGAAGAUUAUAUCCACUAAGUUUAUGUAACCAGGAAGCACUGAUCCCAGAAAGACACCGAUGCCCAAACAAGUCAGAGCUCCCGCUGUGACGCAGGCACUUUGCUGUUUUUCCCAGAGCUACCUACUUACAGGGAAUUACACGUGUUGCUGUGCUGAGACCCAAU
This 268-nucleotide long non-coding RNA is filed under the name Chrysolophus pictus (golden pheasant). RNAcentral describes it as "lncRNA (ENSCPIG00010006099.1)". Lineage: Eukaryota; Metazoa; Chordata; Aves; Galliformes; Phasianidae. The record is from RNAcentral.